UUCCUACGGGGGGCAGCAGUGGGGAAUAUUGCACAAUGGGGGAAACCCUGAUGCAGCAACGCCGCGUGAGUGAAGAAGUAUUUCGGUAUGUAAAGCUCUAUCAGCAGGGAAGAAAAUGACGGUACCUGAGUAAGAAGCCCCGGCUAACCACGUGCCAGCAGCCGCGGUAAUACGUAGGGGGCAAGCGUUAUCCGGAUUUACUGGGUGUAAAGGGAGCGUAGACGGUAUGGCAAGUCUGAUGUGAAAACCCGGGGCUCAACCCCGGGACUGCAUUGGAACCUGCCGAACUAGAGCGUCGGAGAGGC
Molecule: ribosomal RNA, 305 nt
Filed under: uncultured bacterium
Lineage: Bacteria
Description: bacterial SSU rRNA
Rfam family: Bacterial small subunit ribosomal RNA
Source: RNAcentral